Molecule: ribosomal RNA, 604 nt
Filed under: uncultured fungus
Lineage: Eukaryota; Fungi
Description: eukaryotic LSU rRNA
Rfam family: Eukaryotic large subunit ribosomal RNA
Source: RNAcentral
ACCCGCUGAACUUAAGCAUAUCAAUAAGCGGAGGAAAAGAAACCAACAGGGAUUGCCCUAGUAACGGCGAGUGAAGCGGCAACAGCUCAAAUUUGAAAUCUGGCUCUUUCAGGGUCCGAGUUGUAAUUUGUAGAGGGUGCUUUGGAGUUGACUGUGGUCUAAGUUCCUUGGAACAGGACGUCGCAGAGGGUGAGAAUCCCGUAUGUGGCCGCCAGUCUUCGCCGUGUAAAGCCCCUUCGACGAGUCGAGUUGUUUGGGAAUGCAGCUCUAAAUGGGAGGUAAAUUUCUUCUAAAGCUAAAUAUUGGCCAGAGACCGAUAGCGCACAAGUAGAGUGAUCGAAAGAUGAAAAGCACUUUGGAAAGAGAGUCAAAAAGCACGUGAAAUUGUUGAAAGGGAAGCGCUUGCAGCCAGACUUGCCUGUAGUUGCUCAUCCGGGCUUUUGCCCGGUGCACUCUUCUACAGGCAGGCCAGCAUCAGUCCUGGCGGUUGGAUAAAUGCCUGCUAAAUGUACCUCUCUUCGGGGAGGACUUAUAGUUUCAGGCGGCAUACAACCAGCCGGGAUUGAGGUCCGCGCAUCUGCUAGGAUGCUGGCGUAAUGGCUGU